UUAGUAAUAUCUAUAAUUUUUAUCUCGUACUAAUGUAUUUCCAGAGUUGUCAAAUUUUUGAAAUUGAAUAUCACUCGGGACUAAUAAUAAAGGCGUCCAGAAUAAUUAAGUAUUACUAAGGUUAAAAUCUAGGUACCUAAAUAUAAUUGUGUUUGCUAGCAAACGAAAAACAACGUAAAUAAACGAAAAAAAUUAACAAACGCACAAGUCGCCACUACGAUUUUCGAAGGUUUCCCUUAAUUUCUCUGGGAUCUCAUCAUCAGAUCCUGCUUUCCUUAUUACGGUACCACCCUUGGGAUAUCUUCUUCCCAACA
Molecule: unclassified non-coding RNA, 314 nt
Filed under: Melitaea cinxia (Glanville fritillary)
Lineage: Eukaryota; Metazoa; Arthropoda; Insecta; Lepidoptera; Nymphalidae
Description: misc RNA ENSMCXG00005002876.1
Source: RNAcentral